This 253-nucleotide ribosomal RNA is filed under the name uncultured bacterium. RNAcentral describes it as "partial 16S ribosomal RNA". It matches the Rfam family "Bacterial small subunit ribosomal RNA", at positions 524 to 776 of the family's 1533-position model. The record is from RNAcentral.
UACGGAGGGGGCUAGCGUUGUUCGGAAUUACUGGGCGUAAAGCGCACGUAGGCGGACAGUUAAGUCGGGGGUGAAAUCCCGGGGCUCAACCCCGGAACUGCCUUCGAUACUGGCUGUCUGGAGGUCGAGAGAGGUGAGUGGAAUUCCGAGUGUAGAGGUGAAAUUCGUAGAUAUUCGGAGGAACACCAGUGGCGAAGGCGGCUCACUGGCUCGAUACUGACGCUGAGACGCGAAAGCGUGGGGAGCGAACAGG